GACAGAGGGUGCAAACGUUGUUCGGAAUUACUGGGCGUAAAGGGCGUGUAGGCGGCAACGCAAGUCGGAUGUGAAAGCCCAUGGCUCAACCAUGGAAGUGCACCCGAAACUGCGUUGCUAGAGUCUCGGAGAGGAAGGUGGAAUGCUUGGUGUAGAGGUGAAAUUCGUAGAUAUCAAGCGGAACACCGGUGGCGAAGGCGGCCUUCUGGACGAGUACUGACGCUGAGACGCGAAAGCGUGGGUAGCAAACAGG
RNAcentral lists this ribosomal RNA (253 nucleotides) under uncultured bacterium. RNAcentral describes it as "partial 16S ribosomal RNA". It matches the Rfam family "Bacterial small subunit ribosomal RNA", at positions 524 to 776 of the family's 1533-position model. The record is from RNAcentral.